AGGUACUGAUUAUCGAAGUGAAUACAGUUCCAGGACUGACUCCUUCCACCGUCUUGAUUCAUCAGGCACUUUCAGAGCAACCUCCCCUGUAUCCACAACAGUUCUUCCGCACGUUGCUUGAUCUGGCAUCAGAGAGAUCUAUGUGAAUAUAAUUAUAUCACAAGAUUUCAGGUUGUUCAUUUCUCUCUUAUUAUCUGUUGUCCAUCCAUCA
This is a non-coding RNA of Solanum lycopersicum (tomato), 211 nucleotides long. The record is from RefSeq and is a predicted model, not a curated record. Lineage: Eukaryota; Viridiplantae; Streptophyta; Magnoliopsida; Solanales; Solanaceae.